This 5371-nucleotide long non-coding RNA is filed under the name Brassica napus (rape). RNAcentral describes it as "long non-coding RNA (BNAP_LNC002534)". The record is from RNAcentral. Lineage: Eukaryota; Viridiplantae; Streptophyta; Magnoliopsida; Brassicales; Brassicaceae.
CUCAAUGCACCAUCUUCAUGGCAUCAUCAACUUCUUGGAAAGGCAGAAUGGAUUCAUCAGCUUCUCCUCAAUCACCUCUCAUUGAAGCCGCAUUGAUGGAGAGCCUUCCUCCUCACUCGCCAAGGCUGCUCUGAACAGCCUCUUGCCUAGACACGCCACUGACUUGGUCCGGUUGAUGAUCCUUGUAGAAGCUUUUGCAAAAGACCAUGGAUCAUAUGCAUUAAGACUCCCCCUCAAGCUUAGAACCGAGACUAGAAGGAGCUAAGCUUGUGAUGAUCCUAUGCAUCCCCAUGGUCUAAUAACUAUCAUCUUUCAUGAUAGCUUUCUUCUUGUGAGUUUACUCUCUUCCUUAACCAGGAACUAGGGUGUUUGAAUCACCAUAGAGAGUCUCACAAGACACACCUCUCAUUGCAUAAUGACCCAUGCUACACUUCCUGUAGACUAAGGACUAGAUAUGUCCAAUGGUAUUAUGCAAUGGCUAUCUCUCAUUGCAUACUCAAUCACACUACACUUCCUGUAGAUUAUGGACUAACAUGUCCUAGUGAUGAUAUGCAAUGGCACAAGACCUUUGUCUCUACAUUCUUGGUUGAUGGCGAGUUACAUGUAUCACUUCCCUUGUGUACCUAACACCACCAAAACUCAAUGUAAGAUCAGAUCAUCCCAUUGGGAUCAAGCCAAGAUCAUCCAUCCUGUUUGAUCACCAAUGCCACAAUAAUAUAUGAUACUUGAAACAAGCUAGACAAUCAAUUCAGUUUUUUUUUUAAAUGCAACAAUAGAUGAAUGCAUUAGGUUACACUAACUAUAUGAAUGAAACAGAUUCAAUCCAACAUGGAACACAAGUCUAGAUGAUACUUCUGCAAUUAAGGCGACAAGAGUGACACAAAUCAUGCUUAUGCUCACUAGUUUUAUCAAGGCCAAUGAUUCAAGUAGCUUAGACAUACUUCUAAAUGCUUAUAAGACAUCACUGAUGGAUUUAACUAUGGCAUAGCAACAAUCAGAACUGGACUGAGUCAAGACAAGCAGAUUUCAAUUUCUAACAAUGACAAUGCAAGUUCUAUACAGUUCUCUAAAUGCAAAGCUUAUAUCAGUACAUUUGCAAGUUAGGCUCAUUUUAAAAUGCAUUACUACAUGAAUGCACAAUCUUAAAGCAUUAGCUAUAUGAAUGCAACAGGUUCAAUCCAUGAGUAAUAUUAAAGCUCUGCACAACAGUUUCAAUCAGAACCAAUGAUGCAAGCAACUUAGACAAUUUCUAAUUGAUGCAAGACUUUCAUUGAUGGAUUAAACAUAGGCAAUAGCAUCAGAUAACACUAGGAUUGAACUUAGACAAAACUUAGACAGUAUGAGAUAUGCUUAUGUAUGCAAAAGAGCUUAUCAAUCAUGAUGCAAGCAGCAGAGACAUUCUACUCAAUUCUACAACACAUUCAUGAUGAUUCAAGCUAUGACAACACUCAAGACAAUGCAAUAAACAGAACAUGAGAUUCUGGGACUCUAGACAUUACUUACUAUCAAUAUGACAAUGCAACAGCAAAACAAUUUCAGUGCAAUUAGCCUAGACAUUCUACUAGAAGCUAUAAACUCUUAAUGGAAUUAGGGAAAGCACAUAGUAUAAUCAGGAGAUAAACCUAUCAAGACAUAUUAAGAUAGAUGAGAUUAGGUUUACUCCCUUGGUUAAGAUGAUGAGGAGUGGUUCUCAAAGAUACCACUUGAAUCCUUACUUCUUCUUCUUCUCUUAUUGCAAUCACCCUUCUGAAUUCACCACCAUGAUGGAAUGCUUGUGGAUGCUUCAGCUACUUCUUCAAUCACCUCACAAUAGAAGCCGCCUUGGUAGAGUAGCCUUCUUCUUCACACAGCCAAGAGUGCUCUGUCUUAGUUUGAGCACCCUCUUGAAUAGGCACGCCACUGCCUAGACCCGGUUGGCUUCUUCUUCAGUUACUUGCAAUGGUAAGAGGAAGACCAGUGAGCUUCACGUGAGUUUUACAACCAUCUGCGCUUCACCCUUCUUGUAGUAACUCUCCAUUGCACACACAAUGGACACCAUUCUUUCUCUUUAAACUCGGAUUUGAUGAUGAACUAGGAACACCUUUUGUGAACCUGAAACAUCACUCAAACUCUAGCCAAGAUAAGACACAAUUGCAUUGGGAUCAAUUCUUGACUUCAUCAAGUUUGAUCACCAAUGUCUCAAGCUUUAUAACAUUAGAAAGAAUCAAGACAAUGUCAAGUUCUUAUCUAUGCAAGCAACCAUUCUCUAAAUACUAAGCAAGACCUUAUCAGAUUCAAGUCAAAGUAUUUAGGCAAUUUUAAUCACUCCUUAAUAUGCAACUUAGACUUUAAUCUAAAUGCAACAAUCCAAGGCAUCAACAAGGCAGUAUGCAUUAAUCUUAACAGUUUCUAACUCAUGAAAGCAAGUAUGAUUAGAUAAUAUAAUCUAUCAUCUUAACAAGACAAGUUAAUUUAGAGCUGACAUUAAGCAUUUACCAUUUUCAAUAGUAUUGAUGUCAAAACUUGAUUAAUAAAUCAUCAAGUUUGAUUCCCAAUAUCACAAGCAAUGCAACAGAUAGACACAGGGCAUUAUCAAGUUCUAUACUUUGCAAGCUAACUCUCUAAGUACAUGCAAGAUCCUACCAGAUUCAAGACAAGUUACUUAGGCACUUUUAAAGCUUCUUUACUCAGCACUUUAGACAUGAAUCUAAUGCUUCAAUGUAAGACAGCCACAAGACUAUAUGCAACAGCUUUUAAUUCAGUUUCAAUCUAUGUACGCAAGCAGAUUCAAUUAAUCACACUAAGCAUCACAAUGAACUGGAGCUAAGCAUAUUAAUCACAUUCAGUCACCAAACAAAGCUCUUAAAGUAUCCUGGGACAGAUUCUAAACAUUUUAAUUUAUCAAUCUUUAACAAUCCUCAGGUUUUCAAUCACACCACACAUUCUAACCAGUCAACAACACAAGCUUAUUAUCAAGAGGGUUUUAAAUCGCUUACACAAGGAACCAGGUUGGUUCCUUAAACCUCCAAGGGGACUGGCCAUGGCUUUUGUUGAAUCUGAGAGUCUGGAUAGUCACCCACCUCCUACUCCUUCAGUUCAUGGCCACCUUCUUGUUUCUCCAGCUCAAAGACUCCUCCUUUCUUCAAGCCUUCUAGGCGCCAUCAUCUUGACAGCUUUCAUGAUGAACCGGGUGAAGAAAGCUCUUGGAGGAGGCGCCUUGGAUGAGGUUCGUGAGUCCUCUCCAUACACUUCUGCUUCCAAUGAGUCUCUCCAUCAGUAUAGUCAGGAGAAAGGAUGAGAGACACGCCCUUCAGUCUUCUUCUCAUGGAGAAACUGAACUCGGAUGGGAAUGUCUUCAAGGAUUGGAUUUGAGCUGAGGGUAGAGCUUGUGUUGUGCGGAAGCUACAGCUCAGGUUCUGAUGAACCUGGCUCUGAUACCAUAUGAUUUUUAAAGAGAUCUCUACUCUGGUAGUAUGUGUGUGUGUAUAAGCUUCAAUGAAGAAUGAUUAGAGCUUGUUCUAGGUGAUAUAGAGAGAGAGAUUGGUGAGAGUGUUUAUGAGUAUAUGAGAGACUUUAAGGACAGAGAUUAAGAGACUUAAGAGACUAGAGAGACUGAGAGAAUAAGAGACUGAAGAUUAGUGUUUCAGAUUAGAGAAGGAGAGGGGAAACCCCCUUACUCACUUAAUUCUUUACAAUAGCCAAUGCUUGGCUUAUAUAUGACUUUACACUUUUCAGUAUCAUAAACCUAUAUCCUAAGGCUGAUAAUAACUUGAAUGCUGGACGGCCUGGAUGAGGGGAGACUGGUCUUUGGUCUUGGCAGCUAGUCUUGUAAUUGGUUGAUUCAAACUGAGGCAAAAGGAGACUGAAGGCGCCAAUGUAUCUUGCUCCUUAUGUGACCAGAUUCAUGCUUCUCCUUUUGCCUUUACCUUUUGCUUUUGCUUUUACUUUACAGCUAGCUCCUUAUCCACAGCUAGCUCCUUAUCCACACAAGAUGCUCAGCAUAUUCCUUUUGCAUACAAACCACUCCAACGGAUUGAUUAAUGUAUCCACAUCACUUAUGAUCUCAUCCAUACUUCUUUAUUGCUUGUACUCCAAGGCAACCUUGUACCACACGGUUCCUUGUGUCUUAUACCCAAGUCUUGAUCAUAUGUGAUGUGUCAACCUCUUCUCCAUAACUUAACCAUCCCAAGACCUGAUAGAACUCGUUUGGAUCACCCAUGUCCUUGCCUGGCCGUACCAUCCGUACCACCGGCCGUACAUGGUCAUCCCUAUCUUUGCACUAUCAACCUUUCUCUCCCAAACUCCUCCAAAGCCUUCACAUGAUCAGUCUAAGUCUUUCCUAGACUUAACUUCACAAGAUAACUACUUCAGAACACUUCUGAAGCUUGAUUGAACUCUUCUGGACAUCUUCUAGAGCUUGCCCUAUUAUUGUACAAGCUCCAUCUUCUCUUCAGUUCAACACUCCCCCUCAAGCUUUGACUUUAGGAGAUCCUAAGCCAAGCUUGGAACUCUGAAGAGUCUCCCUCAUUAAAAACCUUACAAGGAAAACCCAUUGGGACAAAACCUUGCAAGGGAAAAAGAGUAGAGCUCUUCAAAGCCUAGGGAUUAGCCAGUGAGCUCUUGUGCCUUAGAACCAGUGUGGUUGGACACAAGAAGCUCUGGAUCACGGCCUAACAGGUGCAGCAACUCUUCACAGUUUUGUGCACACUUCACACUUCACACUUCAGCUUCACCUCUUCAUGGAACAGGUUUGAAGUCUCCCCCUCUCAACUGACUUCACAGCCAUCUUAGAGAAGUUAGGACACGACCAGAUCAUCUUCAAAACACUAGUGAGGCUGAUCAACACUUCACACACGGCUUGCCCUCUUCAUAGAACUGGUUUGGAUCUCCCCCUCUCAACAGACUUCUCAGCCAUCUUAGAGAAGCUAGGAACUGACCAGGAACAUCUUUAGUGAGGCUCAAGCAAUGGUACCUGAUACAUUAUCCCAAAGGUGCAUCAGUACCUAUCAAAAACAAGAAAAUGAAUAUCCUGCAUCACACUUGAUGCACACAAUCUCACAAUUCAAUCAUAAUCAUCUUAAGUAUCUUUUCAAGCACAAGCAAUGAAUAAGAUGAAUGAAAAAGAUUGAAAAGAGUUUUAAAAGUCUAAGGGAACUUCCCUUGUGUUUUUGUGAGUUUACAAACUCUCUCAAUGCACCAUCUUCAUGGCAUCAUCAACUUCUUGGAAAGGCAGAAUGGAUUCAUCAGCUUCUCCUCAAUCACCUCUCAUUGAAGCCGCAUUGAUGGAGAGCCUUCCUCCUCACUCGCCAAGGCUGCUCUGAACAGCCUCUUGCCUAGACACGCCACUGACUUGGUCCGGUUGAUGAUCCUUGUAGAAGCUUUUGCAAAAGAC